UGACGAAGAAGGAGAAACAAGUGAGAUAAUGGAAGAGAAAGAGAGACGAAACAAAGAUGAAAGGAAAGAUGGCUGGGGAAGAGGAAAGAGAGAUGGAUAGAAAGAUUGUGAAAGAGAGGAUAAGAUAUAUAUAUAGAGAGAGAGAGAAUGAGAGGAAGAGAAAGAGAUACAGAGAGAGAGAUGGUUAGAAAGAGUAUAAAAAGAUUGAGGGAGAGAGAAAGAAGACAAAGGGGACGGGAGAGAAAGAUGGAUAGAAAGAGAGAGAGAGAGAGACUAAAGAAAAGAGACAUAGAAGAUAAAGAGGGAUAGAGAGAGAGAGAGAUGAAGAUGAUGAUGAAGAAGGAAGCAAGCUGAUAUACAUGAAACUGACAGACGGACGACAUUGUACGGUGGUGGCUGUUGCGUGUGUAAUAUUAUUAUUAGCAUCAUCUCACGUUGUAAUGAUAAUAUUGUCGUAAAGUAGCCGUGUGCUGGAGUUCCAUCCUCAUCGCCAACAUAACCAGCCAGGCCAACUUAUAUAUAUAUAUAUGUAGAUAGAUGUAUAUUUUGGCUGAGAUCGUCGUCACCUAAAAGGCAACAAACACUCGAUUGAUAUUUACAGACCUCAUGUCACCCUCGGCCAAAUUCUGGAUCCUCGCUCCGAUCAAGAUUUUUGGAAAUACUGUUGGUGAUCCCUUCAUGACUUUGUGUUGGUGACCUGUUGAUGUCCAGCUGACGAAUUGUAAGACAUCUUCCUGCUAAUAUUGUGAUAUUAGGUUAUCAACCUCUGCAGGUUAAUGACCUCUUCAUAUUAAUGAGCUUCCAAGGCCAAUGGUCUUUAGAAAAUGAUGGCCUCCCAAGAGUGAUGACCUUUUGACUUUCUCCAGACAACAACUUUUCAUUUUAUUUGUGGGUUUCUUCUCAACAGAUUGAACUGAACUCAUGAACCAGUACCCACUCACAUAAAGAUAUGUAUAUACACACACACACAGCAGUAUGCAUACACACACACACACACACACACACACAGCAGUAUGCAUAUAUAUUAAGUAAAGUUAUAACAUGUAACCAGACAGAAAUUUAAAGCUAACUCCAAAGUGAUUUUUUAUUUUGUAACUUUGUUACUCAAAGCUAGUGGGAGACACACUUCUUGAGUUUUCAUCAACUCCCUACAGUUACUGAUCCUAAUUACAUAAAUCUCCAAUCACAGGCAUGAAAGCUGCCAUAUUAAUACAGACAAUCCACAGCCAACUGCAUAAUACACAUAUCCAUGAUCAUUAGUUUGUUAACCUAGAUAUUUCCGUUGUAGUAUUUGACUUCAAGGAGACCAAAGGACUUCCACAUAAAAACCAGUUUCUAAAACUCUCCUUCAACACUUGAGUUAAUGGUCAUUUGUAUUUUAUCUAGCAGAAAUGCUUGCUAGACAUUAUGUUGGCAGGAUCUAGACCACAACAAUCAGCCUAAACUAUUCCUGCUUCAGCUUUGUUAUACUUAAUUGUUUGUAAGUCUGCCUCAACCCCCUACUUGAACUUAACCCCUUCUGCUUCUCCCUGUACACCUACUGCCAAAAUUUUCCUUCUUUUGUUUAAUCCUUCAGCAUCUAAUCCAGCCAAAAUAUUCUGUUCAAAACAGCCAUGUCAGGCCUCUCACAACUACCCUACAAUGUCAAUCUAAAAACAAUCACGUCAUGUUAAUCUUGAGGCUAUAAGAUAAUUAAUGAUUAAUUCAAAACAAUGUUAAUAAAUAAACAUUACAUUUGACAGAAUAAUCUCUCCCUAAUCUUGUUUACCUUUCUCUCCCUAAUCUUGUUUACCUUUCUCCCAUCUUUGCGCAAUUUCUAUUUCUGAUUCAUUUUACUUCUGCCUAGAUUUGCCUAACUUUUACAGACAGAUUCACUCGUUUGUCUGUCUGUAUUCAUACAAACUUGUAAAGAGGAAAAAAAAAUCACUUGGAAAUUAAAGAAAACAACCUAAAGAAAAAGAAAAAAACCCACAAAAGCAAAGCAGACUAAGAUUCCAUUCAUCUACGAAUUUUGUAUGACUGUCAUCUCAGCAGAAAAAAAAAAAUAUAUAUAUAUAUAUAAUACAUACAUACACACAUAUAUAUAUAUAACAUUGAGCUAGUUUCUCUAAAAAGUUUUCUUAUUAGCUUUGUGGAUUUUUUCUGUUCUCUAUUUUAGCUUGCAUGACAAAUAUUGAUUUUCAUAAACUUUCUUUUCUCUACUUUAAAAGAUUGACUAUUUAGUCACACAUACAA
Long non-coding RNA from Octopus bimaculoides (California two-spot octopus), 2235 nucleotides. RefSeq lists it as uncharacterized. The record is from RefSeq and is a predicted model, not a curated record. NCBI's taxonomy places the organism in Eukaryota, Metazoa, Mollusca, Cephalopoda, Octopoda, Octopodidae.